CUUACACAGUCCUUCCCUCAGCCUCUGCCUGAAACGCUUUCACCAGACUCAGCAACAAGCAACAGGAUGAGGAUUGAAGCCCUAGUUCAGCUGAGUUAAAGCCACCGCAACCCGGGCAGCAUUCAUACGCUCAGCACUCAUCUAGACGUUGCCUAACCUUACGUACGCAGGCAUUAGGCACUGUGUUAACAGAAGAGGAGAGAGACGCAAGUAAGACCGGAACUUGGUCCUCAAACUGCUUAGGAUCUAGGGGGCACACCAUCAACCACGCAGUGUCUGAGGUAGGCACAAAGUGCUCAGAGAGACAGCACAUGAUCUGGAUAAUAAAAACAUACCAGCACCCUCUACUCGGCACUGCCCACCUCUCCGAGGGGAUGAUUUCUCUUCUCGGCACAUUUCGAGAGGGCCAGGGGGCCACUGGAGGAGGUCCAAGGGAGAGCCGCCAGGUGGAAGGGCUGCCUUCGCACACUGCCUCCCCUCAGCUGCCUCUUCCCUUCUGUAAAGAGGAGGGAGAGUGGCAAAGGAUGUUGGAAGAUGGGAGGGGGGCAUUUUUGUUUUAAUUGAAAGUAGCUGCUCUUGAAAGUACGCGAGUAUUGCUGGUUUGAGGAACCACGGCAGAGCCCAUCACCACGAACAGCCUCCAGUCGUAUGAACUCCCUACACUGAGACUAUCAACUGCUCCACAGAGCCGAGCAGCAAGGUACCAAUUCCGUGGACCGCCUUGAAGACCUCUGUAAUCUGGCUUCCGUCUUAUCUCUCUUGCUAGGUGUGGCCAAGUGACCAAAUUCAAGUGAAUAGGAUGCCGGUGCAAAUGUCCGGAGGCAGCUUCUGGGAACCUAAAGAGACAGUGGAUGCACGCCUCAUCCUGCCGACUGGGACACGAAUGUCACGACCGAGGUGCCAUCCUGGACUAUGACGACAAGGGCCACACCACAGGGAUGACGAAGCAGAAGCGAGAAGGAACUGGGCCCUGAGGACUUGGUGGAAUGGAGCCACCAUAACAGCUCUGGAUUGCCUACCUCCAGAUUCUUAACUGAAAGGGAAAUUAUUUUCUAUUUCAGCCACUAAAUUCAGCCAUUACUUGGAGACUCUGUUGUUUGCAAGUUAAGACCAUUCCCAGGUCACACCCUCUGUAUCACCCUGUCCCCAGAUCCUGCCCUGGGGCCUGCUGUGAGCCAGACACUGCGCUAAGGGUCUGCGUAGAUCACCUCAUUUAAUCCUCACAAAGACCCCGUGAGAUGGCUACCAUUCGGAGCUCCAUUUUACAGAUGCAGAAACAAACCAAGAGAGAUGAACUUACUUGCUCACAAGAGGUAAAGCCAAGUUUCUGCGCCCAGGCCGUGGGUCCCCAGACGCUAUACUCUUAGUCUCUGCGUUCUCUGACCUGCCUCAGCUGAGCCACUUUCCCUCUGAGCUGCCUCAGCUGAGCCACUUUCCCUCUUCCCUGCCUUCACUCAUGUUAUUCCCUUGCCACCUGAAAUGACUUUCUGCCUUCCUGAUGUCCUUUUCUGUUUCGAUGUCACCUUCCACAUGAAGGCUCUGAUGCAGAGUGGAAAUAAACGCCUCCCCGAAUGAGCCCAUUGUACCUUGACCAUGCCUCUGUGACAUCACUUUGCACAUCCUGCCUUGCAAUCUCAUUAGCUGUGUUACGUGCCGGUUUUCCUUAAUAUAUUUUAAGUUCCUUGAGGACAAGAAACAUAUUUUAUUUGUCCUUGCAUUUCCUAAAGUACCUAACAGUCAAAUUCAAUAAAUGUGAUUUGAAUUGCUAAAAAAAAAGGUUCUCAUCGAAAGAUAUGAGUUUUUGACUAUCUUAUAAAUGAAAGACAAGUGGUGAGUUAGAGUUCUAAACAACUGAAACUCUGUAACAGCACCAUCCAAUGAACUUUCCAUGGCCACGGAAACAUUCUACGUCUGUGCGAACACAGUAGCCACUAGCCACAUGUAGCUACAGAGCGCUUGAAUAUUUAAUUUUAAUUAAUUUAAAUUUAAGCAGCCGCAUACGGAUAACGGCUACCAUGCUGGAUGCUGCAGCUCUAAGACUCCAUGUUGAAGAGAACAGCUCCAGCGUGCUUUAUGCGGAACAGGUUUUCAGGAAGCCUUGCUGCAGCACUUCCAGUUGAGUCGAAGUGAUUAUCAACAUCAGUAGACAUAAUCUACACAGAUGAAAAGAAACAGACUGAGAAAGGGAGAAACUUUAAGAAACUCAGGGAUAACAUAGAAAAAGAUGAAGUUGAAGCCACAAGAACCAAAACAUGACCAGAGGGCAGCAUGUGCAGCAGAAGAAAGCCCUCGAUAAACCCUGUCCUUGCUCAGGCAGUCUGGAAGAGGGGCGUCCAGACAGGCAAUUAUGUGAUGUAUAAACCCAGUUUAAUAAAGGCUGGGCUGGCAUCCAUUUACAAAAACCUCCAGAGGACACUGAGGUUUCUCAUGCUGUCUUUAAAGAAACUGUAAAAGGUUGGGAUGGGUCUCACUAGGCUGGAAAGAAUAAGUCCAGAUCACUCUAUUUAACAACCAUUCAUCAUAAAUUCCAUUUUUUAUUCGGUGGGGAAAUGACAGAAGCUCACUCACUCCUGGUUACAGCAGCUCAGGGCAGAAAUCCCUCUAGCUGUGCUCUCAGACCAAACCUUUAAGUUGAGGCCUCUCUGGAAUUCCCACUCUUGCUUUUGCCCCACCGAGGUGGAGCACUAAAGAAUGCCAUUAGGGCCACACUGUUAAGCGAGCUCCUCCCUGCCCAGCCAUUCUGGGGGUGACCUUCCCCAGGUCCUGGAGCAAGGCCAGAAUGUAAGAUGAAAAGCCACAUGUGGAGGAUGACGCAAGGGAAACAACCAUGACUCCCACACUGAGAGCCAGAAAGAAAUUCGAGGUCUUACGCACAUGAUCUCCCGCGCCUGGGUGUUUUACUCAGCAUAAUAACUCCCUCAACAUUUUACAUUUCAGGAUUUCCAGCCACAGAAGAGUGAGCACUCUAGCAACCAAACUUUGGGUGUACCACUCUAUACAACUCAGAGGGGGUCCAUAUGGUGUUGUCCUGGGUUCCCAUAAUAACUUGAAGGUUUCACAAUGUCUGGAGCCCUGGAUGUCCUACAGAUGAAGGGGGAGGACGUCCUCAAAUUCCUUGCAGCAGGAGUCCACUUGGGUGGCACCAACCUUGACUUCCAAAUGCAACAGCACAUCCACAAAAGGAGAAGUGAUGCCAUCUACAUCAUCAGUCUCAAGAGGACCUGCGAGAACCUUCUCCUGGUGGCUUGAGCCAUUGUCACCAUUGAAAACUCAGCUGAUGUCAGCGUCCUAUCCUCCAGGAAUACUGGCCAGAGGGCUGUCCUGAAGCUUACUGCUACCACUGGAGCCACUCCUCUUGCUGGCCACUUCACUCCCAGAACCUUCACUAGUCAGGUCCAGGCAACCUUCCAGGAGCCACACUGGCUGCUGGUUACUGACCCCAGGGCUGGCCAGCAGCCUCUCACAUAGGUGUCCUAUGUUGACCUGCCCACCACCACUCUGUGUGACCCUCCUUCGUGCCAUGUGGACACUGCCACCGCGUGCAACACCAACGCAGCUCACUCAGCAGGUCUAACAUGGUGGGCGGUGGCCCGGGAAGCUCUGCGCAUGUGUGGGAGCAUCCCUUGUGAGCGCCGAGGGCGGUCGCUCAGCGGGUCUAACGUGGUGGGCGCUGGCCCGGGAAGCUCUGCGCAUGCGUGGCACCAUCCCCGGUGAGCACCGAGCGGGGUCAUGCCUGAUCCCUACUUCUACAGAGAUCCUGAGGAGAUGGAAAAGGAAGAGCAGCCUCUGCGGACAAGGCCGUGACCAAGAAGGAUUUCAGGGUGAGGGGCCUGCUCCAGCUCGCGAAUUUACCUUCCUCAACCUGAGGUCACAGACUGGUCUGGAGGCGCAGGUGCCCUCUGCGCCUGUUCAGCUGUUCCCUGCGGAAGACUGGAGCCCCCAGCUGCCACCGGAGACUGGUCUGCAGCCCUACUGUGCGGGCCACGAAUGGGCGGGAACAAUACUGAGGGGUCUUAAGCUGCUCUUCCCCAGGCUCUUGAACAGAAAACGGAAGUAAAGUGGAUGGAAAAGAAACAUAAGUUUCUUAAAAAACAAACCAAAUAACUUUGAGUGUACAGUGUUUAUACUGCUCAACUCGAGGACCACUGAGACCCACAAGCAGUUCUUGCUGUGUGAUGGCAGGACUGAGCGCCGAGAGUGUGGAGAUGAAGACAGUGGCACCUGUGACAAACGUUGGGACAAUCUGCAACAGCAUCUACGAGAACAAACAUUUUUAAACUCACUGCCAUGCUUUACACGUGCUGUUUCAGUGAGGCCUCUAGGCGAUUGGUAUUGUUAUUCCUGUUUUCCAAGUGAAGAGGUGGAAGCUCAAAGAGAUUAAACAACCGGACUGUUAGCACAAGUGGUGAUUGCCACAGCUCGGAUCCGAAUCGAGGCCUGUCUAAACCCAAACCGUGUGCCCAUCUCACCACACUACCCUCUCCUUCAAACACGGCUGAGGGGCCGCCCCGUAGCCAAGUGCUUAAGUUCGCCCGCUCGCUUUGGCGGCCCAGGGUUUCACUGGUUCAGAUCCUGUGUGCGGACAUGGCACCGCCCAUCAGGCCACACUAAGGUGGCGUCCCACAUGCCACAACUAG
Molecule: long non-coding RNA, 4637 nt
Filed under: Equus caballus (horse)
Lineage: Eukaryota; Metazoa; Chordata; Mammalia; Perissodactyla; Equidae
Description: lncRNA (ENSECAG00000051223.1)
Source: RNAcentral